UAUAAUAAAAAUAUAUAAUUUAAUAAGUAUGUGCCACGACGAUUUAUCAUUUAAACUAUUGACUAAAUACUGAUAAGACGCAAUAAGUGUUGUAAAAUAUUAAUAUAUAAUUUCAAAUGAAAUUUAAAUACGAGCCUAUUUAUGGAUCUCAAGUUCACUAAUUAAUUAAGAGGUGGAGGCACCUGAGUCCACUGAGGACAUAACAACUUGGCUAUCAGGGAAUUUGAAUUCUAGUUCGGGUAGUAAAUUUACGUCAAAUUGUAUAUAAGUUGUCGUCAAAAACGAAAAAGUCCGAAGUUGACGGACAUUUUAUAUAGAGAAUCUUUUUUUGGUAGGAUUCAAACUCUACGCCGGUUCGCAGUCACGUGACCAGAAAAUUUUGCCGGUCUGUGCUCGUUGUAGUAUCGGGUAACUCGCUUAUGUGCUCUUGCAACUCGGCUACGCAGUUGCGGUAUUCAUUUGAUCUUGAACUACAGUCGCAUCGUGGUCGCAUUCCAUCAGAUUAAGAACUUUUAAUACAGUUUACUAAACUAUUAAUAAUUAAUCAAUUAAUUAUCGAGAUUAUUUAUCUACUAGUUACUUUUAAAUAAUAACAGUGAUUAAAAACAAUCAAACAAGAUGGCUGCAGAUUUUAAGUAUCAUUUAAUUGAAUGCUUGAAGAAUCAUAAAAUGGCGGCGAAGCUGGAUUAUCCCGCGUUCCGGACUCUGAACUGCGAAUCAAAAGAAAAAAAUAAUUUUUUUCUUUGUUUCUAAGUAGAGUUUACCUACAGUUUCAACCCAUGUAACACAAAUAUUACUACGGGUAUCAGUCGAAGGCAUUAGUCAUCAUACAAAAUGUUCUAACCCCCUAGACUGAUAUACUCAAACCGUAGUAAUAUUUUUGGGUUGGAUUAUAAUAUAGGUCCAGCAAUGUCCUAGAGAUGAAUUGCUGGACACGGAAGUGGGGUCACACCUGCGUAGCCAAACUGUCAAACAGUCCUCAGUAGAGGCGCUGUUUUUUAGUAAGCAUUAAUUACUACUUUUAUAAUUUAUGUAUAAGUAUGUAUGUAAAAAAAUGUAUAAGUAUAAAUUAAUAAAUAAUAAAUAUUAUCUAA
Molecule: long non-coding RNA, 1094 nt
Organism: Microplitis mediator
Lineage: Eukaryota; Metazoa; Arthropoda; Insecta; Hymenoptera; Braconidae
Exons: 2
Source: RefSeq, a predicted model, not a curated record